Molecule: long non-coding RNA, 719 nt
Filed under: Medicago truncatula (barrel medic)
Lineage: Eukaryota; Viridiplantae; Streptophyta; Magnoliopsida; Fabales; Fabaceae
Description: long non-coding RNA (MTRU_LNC000337)
Source: RNAcentral
GUUUGUUUCAGGGAUUCAUAAAUUAAUCCCAGGAAUAACUUACCUGGGAAUAAAGUAGUGGGAAGUUUAUUCCUGGGUAUUUUAAAAAAAAGUGUUUGGUUAGUAUUUUAAUUUUUCAGGAAUAUUUUCAAAAAAUGUUCCCAUAAAUAGCUAAUUGUUGUUUAGUUUAGAAUAUAUAUUCCUAGAAAAAACAUGAUACAGUUACAAAAAUACCUCUACCUUGUUUCUAAAUCAAUUUGAAUUUAUUUUACUACAUUUUAUUUUCAUUAUAACUUGAAGCAUUUGAAAAUACACCAUGAAAUAAAAUUAUGUUUUCAUAUAGUUGAUUGAUAAAAUAUAGUUGAUUGAUAUAAUAGAACAAUAUUGUUGAAAACUUUAAUAGACACAUAAAUAUUUUUUUGCACAAACCAAAAAGAACAUAAAGAAAUAAUAGAUGAAUUACAUAUAAUAACAUACAUUAUAACAAUGUCUUGAUGUAGAGCAUGUAAAAGAAAAAAAUAGAAAUUAAUUGGCAGUUGAAAAAACAUGGUGGUAGUGGGGUUUUCAUGUAGCAAGGCAAAUGUCAUUCCUAGGAAUAAAACAUUCCAACUCCUUUUUCAUGGGAAUAAAAAUAGGGAGAUCAUGGGUUAAAAAUUUUCCUGGGUAUAAUUUGUUCCCAGGUAUAUUUUUCUUUUACCUUCUACCAAACAUGGGAAAGUGCAUUCCCAUCCUCAUAUUCC